CAGAACACUGCAAUAAGAGUUGUUAGGACUCGGGGAACAAGGAAGGAACUGACUUUAUGUUGGUCGGGGGUGGAUUGAGGAAAAGGACUUUCUGAAUUGAAGUAGAAUUCUACGGAAAGUAUAAAUAGGAAAAAUAUUUCCUUCACAAUAGCAACACAACUCAUGAAAUACACAGAAAUAAGAGAGUAAAUGAGUGUAUGAAUUAUAUGAAGAAAACUAUGGAACUCUACCAAGGAGUCUUAAUGCCUGGUGAGAUGUCCAUUUUCAUGGGGUGAUUCAACACCAGGAAGAAGCCUUUUCUCCCCACAUCAAUCUACAGAGUCAGAGAAACUCUAGUAGGAUUCUAAUAGGAUAUUUAUUGAAUUGUGACAAAGAAUUUCAAAAGUUCAUUGGGUAUGAAAUAAAAAUGAGAUAAUCUCAGAAAAUUUUAAAGAAGAAUAAUUGUUAGGAGGGUCAGCCUGACUAGCCACUCCAAUAAGAAGUAAGAGUAACUUAAACAGAAUGGUACUGAUGUGAGCAUGGGCAAGACCAGGAGAAGAGCACGGUCGUGACGCAACCCCAAGCACACACUGGAAAUGGAACAGGACAGAGACGGCAUCACUCGGCAGAAGAGGAAUGAAGCUGUUGGUAUAGAAAAAGCAGUGAGCAAGACUUUUCUGAACAAGUCAAGAAAUCUAGAAUCCUGUGGGUAAAACAAUGCGGAAAUAACCCAACCGGAAGCCCCAUGACAAGGGAGCCCAAGGGGAGCGUCUGAGAGGUCAGACCCUGGUAGACCGGGGCAGAGGAUGGGUCAGGUGAUGGGGAGGGGGCACGAGAAUGGCCAGCCCACUGGACAGGCUUGUAUUUCAGGGGCAGUGGGGUUGGGCUGAGGACCUGCUCACACCUUCAUAUCGCCAUGUGCAAUACUCACCUUCCGUCGUGUAGGAAACUUGGGAGCGCAUCUUCCUCACCUGAAAGAUGGAGGCAGCUAUUCCUGCUUUGUUCAUCGUGCUGGUCUUUUCAGUAUUGUUUGAGUUAAUGGAUGUGAAAACUCUAUACACACUGUAAAGGACUGUGGCUCCCAUUGUCCUCAUGGAGGGACCAUCUUCACCUGGAUUCAAGUCAGUCAGAGACAGAGAUUAAUAAAUUGCACCACCCACUGAUUUUACAUUUCAACUUUCUUACAUGUGUCUUAACGAGUUGAUUUAACUUUGAAAAUUUAAACUUAUUUGCUACAAGUAAAUAUAUACACGUGUAUUACACACACCAGGGAAGGAAGAGCUUUUUCAAUCAUGUCUGGCCCGUUUCCUGGGAGCGAUCUUGGUUUCCCUACGUAGGCUGACUCUGCAUCCUUAACCACCACUUCUCCAGCCCCAGGGAAGCCGCACUGAAAUCAGCCCAGCACACGUGGAAUGAUUUCUGUGCUUGGCCCCGAGAUGAUGCGGUGUGGGAGGGCAGAGUUAGGAAACAUCUCUGUCAUAAAUAAGUGUGUGGUCUGUGUGCAGACACCAAACCUACUGUGAAAUAUUAAGCAAGGCAUGUCUCUUUCUACACUUUCUUGUACGUGUUGCCCUCUUCCAACCCAACCAGCUAGGACACUGGCUUACUGCCCCAAAGUGUAACAGGUACAGAAAUAAAUCAAAUAGAAAGCAGACAAAUCAAGGCCCAGCUCAGCUUUGGAGCCUCCUGGUAUCACUGCCUGUGUGGUCAGCUGCCACAUGGUACCAGGGAUUUGUCUGUGUGACCAACAGUGUACAGCAGAAGUGACGGGCGUCCUGGCCGAGAUUAGCUUAUUCAAGAUGUCGAUCUCAGUUGCUUUCUGGCUCUCCCAUCACUCGUUCUGGAGAGGCCGCUGCCAUGACACCAGAGCAGGCUUAUGAAGAGGCCCAGAUUGUGAGCGACUGAGGCCUCCUGCCAACAGCCACGUGAGUGAGAUCAGAAGCGAGUCCUCUGGCCCCAGUGAAGCCUUCCAAUGACAGCAGCCCAACCAGCAGCCUGCAAGAGAUUCUCUGCCAGAACCUCCCAGACAAG
Non-coding RNA from Equus caballus (horse), 2010 nucleotides. Lineage: Eukaryota; Metazoa; Chordata; Mammalia; Perissodactyla; Equidae. The record is from RefSeq and is a predicted model, not a curated record.